RNAcentral lists this long non-coding RNA (1214 nucleotides) under Androctonus crassicauda. Lineage: Eukaryota; Metazoa; Arthropoda; Arachnida; Scorpiones; Buthidae. The record is from RNAcentral.
ACUUGGCUUUCCACUCUGGAGGACAGGUUCGAAUCUCGGGUCCCACUCCUUCAAAAUAUUUAUCGGGAUUCGCCGGCGUCGAUCCCCGUCUCCACAAUCCGGCUGAUUCCUCCGCAGGGGUGAACAGGCUGUGGAAGGGCUCGUUUCGCCCCGCCACUUUCCAUUCAGAAAGUGAAUGGAAAGUGGCGUCAUCUGUUGACAAAAAAAAAAAAAAAUACAGUGUGUGUUCGAGCAAAUUUGAGACGAUUUUACGUAUAGUUUUUGUUCUUAAGAACGCAAUGAUGAAUUCCGUUUGUGUAUUUGAUACGAUGACCAUCCUAUGCACUAACCAUUCUACAUUUUUGCUUCCAUGCUUCAAAAACCGAUCGACAUUUUUCAGGGAUAAUUUUUGGAAACUUUCCAGAGUCCUGGCAGUAUAUGGGUUUUUGUCAAGAAAAGGGUUAGCUUUAAAUAACCAAAGCCGAAGUAAUCGAUUGGCGAGAUGUCUGAGGACUUGGCGGGGAUCAGUUCAUUCGGGAUAUUAUUUAGACCUGCGGUUGAUUUCAUUGUUCCAAAUAAAAGCUGGGUAAACUUCGCGGUUUGACUCGAAGCCUUGUCACGGUAAAUGUUUUUAUCCAGUUAUUCCGGAUAAAGCAAUGGGAUAUCUGUUUCCACAUAUCGUCUGAGCAUUUUCUCCCCAUUGUACCUUGCAUCUACUUUAAUCAAAGGGCCAAAGAAUGUUAAAGGGAGGCAUUCCUCUAACAAUCAUGAAUACUUCAGGUCAUCUUUCAUUGCAGUGUGUUAGCCAUUCUUCGGGUAACUCGUCUCUUAAUCACGCGUACAUAAUUUUUCGUUCUCUAAUACAGUAACUUAAAUAGAUAUAUGCUUCGUCUAAAAUCGCCAUAAACUCCGCCCUAUCACCCGCUAGUUUUCAUAGAUUUUCUAGCAUUUGUUUUGCGGUUUUGACAACCAAAAGACUUUAGUUUGUGGAACUUGGUAUUUCUCUUGAUUCUAGGUCUAAAUCUUUGUGAAUAAUUAUAUUAACAAUUGCAUCUGAUUGACUGGAUUCUGACAACUUACGAGGUUUUUCAAUUUUCUGAUAUUAUUGUUGGGAUUCGAGCAGUUUUAGGUUUAGCACAAAGCUUCGAGUUUUUACCUGUUAAUUUAGCUUUUUUUUUUUUGCUUAAAUUUUGGAUAUUAUAUAUAUAGUACUUUUAGAAAAAGAAAAUUUUCGA